Non-coding RNA from Odocoileus virginianus texanus, 837 nucleotides. The record is from RefSeq and is a predicted model, not a curated record. NCBI's taxonomy places the organism in Eukaryota, Metazoa, Chordata, Mammalia, Artiodactyla, Cervidae.
CGGGAUUUCCCAGGCAAGAUUACUGGAGUGCGCUGCCAUUUCCUUCUCCAUGAGAUUACUAAGAAAGCGCAAUUAAGAUUUUGGAGAGGAAGAAGAAUGUUACUUAGCUCUGUGCCUAAGCCCCACUCCUGUGCCUGGCAGGGGACCCACAGCUCACAGCAGGACACAGAUGAGGAGAUGCUUCUUAUGGAUGAGCAAAGGAUGUGGUUUCUUGGGAUAGAAUCUACUUCUGGUGAAGAUGCUGAGAAGACUGUUGAAAUCACAAAAAAGCACUGAAGUCCUUCAUGGUGACACUGUUCCUCCUGACUAGCAAAGUCUUCACGAGACUGACGGAAACCUUCUGGAAAAUACGUGCUUGAUUGUCACCCUGCUUGGCUGAGCAUCCAAGGAUUCACCCGGAACGGAUGAACCCCUACUUUUGCAGUCUCAUCUAUCUCCCCCUUUCCACACAGCUCUGCUCCAGCCCACCAGACGUACUGCCUUCCCUGAACCAGCUGUGAACUUGGCUCGUUCUGUGGCUUCUGUCACUGCUCCUCCUUCACGAUCUGGUAACGCGAGCAGCUCCUGCUCUCACCCGGAUCAGACCUGGUCUCUGGUCUGUUGUGGAGCACAGCCCCUCCUCUCAUGGGCAUCCUUUCUGUGAGUUUGAGGCACCUGGCCUUCCUGUCCCGGAGCAGAGGAAGGCACGUGACCAGGACCAGCCAGAGGACGCUGGUCAGUGGCUGCCAACUGUGGCGAGGUCAGGGGUGUGUAUGGGCUCUGAACUUGGACAUCAGCACCUUCCCUGGAGCAUCAGAAAAGGGCACGUCUUCUCUCUAGGUCACUGUCAGCUGGUGA